This 1985-nucleotide unclassified non-coding RNA is filed under the name Bombus terrestris (buff-tailed bumblebee). RNAcentral describes it as "misc RNA ENSBTSG00005031789.1". Lineage: Eukaryota; Metazoa; Arthropoda; Insecta; Hymenoptera; Apidae. The record is from RNAcentral.
UAAUUAUUUUCAUCUAAAAAUCAAGGAUGAUCCACCCUGAGCGUGCGUGUUUUACGUACCCUAUUCUUCUCGCGUUGGAUCAAUAUAUAUAUAUAUAUUUUUUUUUACAUUAACGAAUCAUUCUCCCGUAGUAACCGUAGUCGUAAAGCGAUUAGUAGUUUAGUUAGUGUGUGAAUUAAUAGUAGUCAGCGAUAACAGCGCCUCUCCUCUCCCAUAACACACGGCGCGUCUUAAUAGUUGAAAUAGGCGGUGUAAUAGUAACAGUUGUAUGCGGUCGUCUUCCACCUUACGAUUAAUAGUUAAUAAUUAAUAGUAGCGGUAACAUAGUAGUAGUUUACCUUACAAUAGCGUUAUUAUUAAUUAGUAAUAGUAGUAGUAGUAGUAGUAGUAGUAGUAGUAGUAGUAAUAGUAGUAGUAGUAGUAGUAGUAGUAGUAGUAGUAGUAGUAGUAGUAGUAGUAGCAGUAGUGAUAGUAGUAGUGUUAGCAGCAGCAGCAGCAGCAGCAGCAGUAGUAGUAGUAGUAGUAGUAGUAGCGAUAGUAGCAGUAACAGUAGUAGUGAUAGUAGUAGUAGUAGUAAUAGUAUUAAUAGUAAUAGUGUUAGUAAUAGUAGUAGUUGUAGCAGUAGCAGCAGCACUAGUGAUACUAGUAGUGAUAGCAGUAAUAGCGAUAGUAGCAACAGUAGUAAUAGUAAUAGUAGUAGUAGCAGCUGUAGUGAUAGUAAUAGUAGUAUUAGUAUUAGUAGCAGUAGAAGUAGUGGUAGUGGUAGUGGUGGUAGUAGUGAUAGUAGUAGUGACAGUAAUAGUGUUAGUAGUAGUAAUAGUAAUAGAGUAUCAGUGUUAGUAGUAAUAGUAGUAGUAGUAACAGCAGUAGUAGCAAUAGUAGUUAUAGUCGUAGUAGUAGUAGUAGUAGUAGUAGUAAUAGUAGUAGCAGUAUUAAUAAUAGUAGUAACAGUAGUAGUAAUAGUAUUAGUGGUAGUGGUAGAGUAGUGGUGGUGCUGUGGUGGUAAGUGACUUUUCCUAUUUUUUCUUCUUUUGGUGGUGGUGCUGAUGGCGAUGGUGGUAUGGUGGUGGUGGUAAUUGUUGUACAGUAAUAGUUAUAAUAAUAGUAGUAGUUUUUCUUCCCUCGUAGUUAUUAACAAUAUAGUUGCAGCGGUAUUUAUCGUCGCUUCGUAAUAUUAUUAGUAGCGGUAAGAAGCAAUUUUUAUAGGAAUAGUAGCAUCGUAUCGCUCCCGUUAUUUUCUUUAACUCGAGUCUGUGUAAAUGUUACGCUUCUUUUUUCAUUUUUCUUUCUUCUAACGCUAGUUAUCGAUAUUACUAGUCUCAAGUUCUUUGUACUAUCACUACGAACCGAUUGACAGGGUGCCUCCAUUCAUCCCAUUUAAUCGCGAUUUCGACUCGAUCCUAAACUCUUUCUCUUUUCAAUUUCAAUGUUUGAGAUCAAAUGGGAAUCUAAAGAUGAAUUUUUAAUGUCUCACUCUAAUAAAUGAAAUUCUACUGUAUCUUCCACAAGUUAGUAAUAAUACAGCGGAACAAUCAAACCUCGAACAAGUCACUCGUAACAAAACCUCUGGAUUCUAAAGCAGCGUUAGUCGUCUACGAAUAUUAAUUUUUUAAAGACACAUAAAAGCAGAGAUAAGCGAGCAAAUAUAAUAAAAACCAACGGUCAGGGGAGGAGAUAGAAUGAAAAAAUGAAGCACUGGCUUUGAACGAUCGCCGUCUUAUUUCUUGUGUAAUUAACGCUAGGAACGGAACAAAACCGAACUAAUAUUUAAAAGCAACCGCUCGUGACAACGAACAACUUUCGUCUCUCUGCUCUGUUUUCCUUUUUAGGAUCACAGUGACGAAUGGGACGCGAGUUAAUCGAGUUGCACGAUCGUCGGAUCCAGUCGUCGCUAAUGGGCAAGAACGCCGCGCACCCUUUCAAUCUUACUCGAAGAGAGAAAGAGAGAAAAAACAAAAGGGAUUCUCGUGAAACUUUACACCAAC